RNAcentral lists this transfer RNA (74 nucleotides) under Lactococcus sp. Its description in RNAcentral is "tRNA-Met". It matches the Rfam family "tRNA". From Rfam's summary of the family: Transfer RNA (tRNA) molecules are approximately 80 nucleotides in length. Their secondary structure includes four short double-helical elements and three loops (D, anti-codon, and T loops). Lineage: Bacteria; Bacillati; Bacillota; Bacilli; Lactobacillales; Streptococcaceae. RNAcentral also lists the same sequence under 1 other name. The record is from RNAcentral.
GGGUCUCUAACUCAAUAGGUCAGAGUAGCACACUCAUAAUGUGAAGGUUCCCGGAUCAUGCCCGGGGAGGCCCA